Molecule: non-coding RNA, 585 nt
Organism: Salmo salar (Atlantic salmon)
Lineage: Eukaryota; Metazoa; Chordata; Actinopteri; Salmoniformes; Salmonidae
Source: RefSeq, a predicted model, not a curated record
AGUCAGGAGCUGAUGGAUGCCUGUGAAAUGCCUGAAGCCCCUCAGUAGAGGAGAGUAAAUCCCUGGUGACUCACAGAGGGGCAUCCCAUUAGAACAACACCUGUGCACUGGCAGAUCCCCAUGGAGGCUGGGAAAUGAAGAAUUAAGACAAGGGCAAGAGAAAACAAAAGACGGAACGAAGUUUGAGAAAUACUGCAGUCUUCGAUAAAAGUCUAUUUUCUCAACACUUCGUCUCCACAGAAUAUGAUCAUUUUCCUUUAAAUGCAAUAAUGUUUUUGUGCUGAAAUGAAAACUGUAAUGUAUGGCUUAGAGUUGUAGUUAUGAGUUUCUCAUAUGAGGCUUGUCUCCAGAAUGACUAAUUGAAUGCUUGUAAGAAUUGUUGUAUGCAACCAUCAAGACCAAGGUUCCUUGAGGGACUCUUUGCUUGUCUUUCAUAGACAUUAGCCUUGUCUGAAUAUAGCCCUUGUAAGUGUUUGACCAUGCUUGCAUUAUUUCUCAUUCUACUGAAGAAGGUGUUGUACAUGUUUUUGCUAAAUAACUAUUCACAAUUUCACUUCACUGAAUUAAUAAACAACUUAAACAGUU